GUUAGGAAUAUUGGACAAUGGGCGCAAGCCUGAUCCAGCCAUGCCGCGUGAGUGAUGAAGGCCUUCGGGUUGUAAAGCUCUUUAGUCCACGAAUAUAAUGACUGUAGUGGAAGAAUAAGACCCGGCUAACUUCGUGCCAGCAGCCGCGGUAAUACGAAGGGGGCGAGCGUUAUUCGGAAUCACUGGGCGUAAAGCGUGCGUAGGCUGUUUUGUAAGUCAGAAGUGAAAGCCCAGGGCUUAACCCUGGAAUUGCUUUUGAAACUACAAGACUCGAAUUCGGGAGAGGAUAGCGGAAUUGUCAGUGUAGCAGUGAAAUGCGUAGAUAUUGACAGGAACACCAGUGGCGCAAGCGGCUAUCUGGACCGAUAUUGACGCUGAGGCACGAAAGCGUGGGGAGCAAACAGGAUUAGAAACCCGGGUAGUCC
This 425-nucleotide ribosomal RNA is filed under the name uncultured bacterium. RNAcentral's name for it is "partial 16S ribosomal RNA". It matches the Rfam family "Bacterial small subunit ribosomal RNA", at positions 354 to 796 of the family's 1533-position model. The record is from RNAcentral.